UCUAAAGGAGACUUUUUGCUCCUCUCACAUGUGUAGGGAUCCUGACAGAGUCAUGCUUGGGUCAUGUGGGGGAGGAAAAGGUGGUGUGCCACAGGGAUGGAUUUUCCUAGCCCUUACCAGCACAGUCCAGGUUUCUGAAUCCAUGCCUAGAGGUGGGGCAGGGAGGGCUUUCCCUGCACCCACACAUAUUAUGAUUAAGGUUGGGGUGGGAAGCUAUUGAGUGCAAACAGAAACUUUCAGUUUUAUUUCCAGCCCAGCCUUCCUCUGGCCUGACUCACUCGGUGAUGCCACAGUCUCAUGUUUGUGACCUAACACAGUGGAUCACCAUGGAACUCACACAGACCCUAGACUGUUGAGGAGCACCAACGGAGAUGAGCUGGACAGUUCCGGAAAAAGAAAUAAACCUGAUUUUGACACACAGAGAGGCCACAUUUCAAAUCUGGACUCCCAAGUCCUCAUGUGGGCACUUCCACCGCUGAUAAAAAUGGACACCUGGAUACCUCAGGGUCUAUUGGAGCACCCAAGUUUGGAUUUAAGGAAAAGAAGACAGACGCUGGCAACGGACAGUGUACCAGUGAGGGCCCAGCAACAGCAGGCUGCCUCUGCAGACAAGACAGGAGAAGUCCAUCAAAUACCCUAUUUUAAGAAGAGGAAGCUGUUCUAGGGAGCAAGAAGUCUGAGAAGUUUCCAUGAGUUCUCAGGCUCAUUCUGAAAUGGGCAUCACCUCUGCUUAUCUAUUUGCCCAAAUCCACCACCAUUAAGAAAAAGCUUGUUCCCUUA
Monodelphis domestica (gray short-tailed opossum) is the source of this 780-nucleotide long non-coding RNA. RefSeq lists it as uncharacterized. NCBI's taxonomy places the organism in Eukaryota, Metazoa, Chordata, Mammalia, Didelphimorphia, Didelphidae. The record is from RefSeq and is a predicted model, not a curated record.